RNAcentral lists this ribosomal RNA (446 nucleotides) under uncultured bacterium. RNAcentral's name for it is "partial 16S ribosomal RNA". It matches the Rfam family "Bacterial small subunit ribosomal RNA", at positions 330 to 792 of the family's 1533-position model. The record is from RNAcentral.
GCCAGACUCCUACGGGAGGCAGCAGUGGGGGAUAUUGCACAAUGGGGGGAACCCUGAUGCAGCGACGCCGCGUGGGUGAAGGAGUGCUUCGGCAUGUAAAGCCCUAUCGGCAGGGAAGAAGCAAGACGGUACCUGACUAAGAAGCCCCGGCUAACUACGUGCCAGCAGCCGCGGUAAUACGUAGGGGGCAAGCGUUAUCCGGAUUUACUGGGUGUAAAGGGAGCGUAGACGGCGAUGCAAGCCAGAUGUGAAAGCCCGGGGCUCAACCCCGGGACUGCAUUUGGAACUGUGUGGCUGGAGUGUCGGAGAGGCAGGCGGAAUUCCUAGUGUAGCGGUGAAAUGCGUAGAUAUUAGGAGGAACACCAGUGGCGAAGGCGGCCUGCUGGACGAUGACUGACGUUGGGGCUCGAAAGCGUGGGGAGCAAACAGGAUUAGAUACCCCAGUA